Molecule: ribosomal RNA, 231 nt
Filed under: uncultured bacterium
Lineage: Bacteria
Description: partial 16S ribosomal RNA
Rfam family: Bacterial small subunit ribosomal RNA
Source: RNAcentral
GAUCCUGGCUCAGGACGAACGCUGGCGGCGUGCCUAACACAUGCAAGUCGAGCGGGGAAUAUUGAGCAGCUUGCUGCUUGAUAUUUCUAGCGGCGGACGGGUGAGUAACGCGUGAGCAACCUGCCUUUAUCAGGGGGAGUAACGCAUCGAAAGAUGUGCUAAUACCGCGUAAGACCACAGCUUCACAUGGAGCAGGGGUCGAAAGGAAGCAAUCCGGAUAAAGAAUGGGCG